This 1375-nucleotide long non-coding RNA is filed under the name Coffea arabica (coffee). RNAcentral's name for it is "long non-coding RNA (CARA_LNC006431)". Lineage: Eukaryota; Viridiplantae; Streptophyta; Magnoliopsida; Gentianales; Rubiaceae. The record is from RNAcentral.
CCCCUCCCCCGCCACAUUUUCCCUCCCUCUGGCUGCAAUCUAGUUGCGUGACCUGUUUGGAUUAUAAUUUUUUAGAUUUUUUUUUUGUAGAAAAUGCAUUGUAGGGAUUUGAUAUGUGAGGUAAAAAGAUAAUUGAAAAAUGUGUUCACAAAAAAUGUAAAUUUUUUUUUUAAAAAAAUGACUUUCCAAACAAGGUCAAAUUCGGGCCGAUUUUAGAAUAGUAGAUAACAUUUUUUCAAGACAAAGUAACGUAGAUAUAGACUCUUAAAUAGAAAUAUCUAACUGCUUAAAGUCAUGGAAGUAAAUUAAUGUAGAAGCUUUAACUAGUUUUAACGGGUGUUAUUGCUUAUCUAGUUAUCUUACUUUGUAGUUACGAGGCUAAAUCCGCACACCAUUUAACCUAGUCUAUUACUAAAACAAAAACAAAAACAAAAACCCAAGUUUCAGGCUUUUAGUCCCCGAUUCUACUUCUGCUUUUAGAUAUAAAUAGCAAGGGUGACCUAAGUAUGGCCUUUAUUCGUGUUUGCAUCUUGUCUUGUUGCCUAAAGAAGUAAAAAAGAGGAUAAAAAUGGCUUCAAAAUCUAUGGUUUCUUUUCUUUUGGUGCUUUGCAUUAUGGCAUCUUGUAAGUAUCUCUUUCUUUCCAGGAAAAUGCUAUAUAUAGUAGUUUGCCAAAACCACACCACUCAUCUUGUGUUUAUUUUUUUUCUUUUCUUUUCAGACUAAAUUAGUGUUUGUUUGUAUAAGACACCGUAUGAUACAGACAAAUUUCAGACCAAAUGUAUAAUAGUACCAUGAUUAGUUCUCACGUAUAUCAGCAAUUCUCUUUACUCUCUUUUGUUUUUUGUUUUUUUUUUGUUUUUGCUUGCAAAAAACUAAAUAAAAAGAAAUUAUGGCAGGUCUAUCAUCAGGAACUGAAGCAGUGCUUUGGCAUGCAUUUAAGGACUGGAUUUUGGGGAUUGACAGGCCCUGCGUAGUGCAGGCGGAGUGCGAUGUAUUGUGGUGUCCGUUUCUGAAAGCUCCACGCUGCGAAAUGCCUCCGAUGCGUGAUCAUCCUGGAAGGUGCAAAUGUGGACCGUGGCAUUGAUUUACCAGAAUUUGUUUGUUCUUGAAGGUGUAUGAAUAAACAAAACCCCAUGUAACUUUUCUCAAACAAAAGCGUUGAAAGAUCAAUGAUUUUCAAAUGCUGCUCUUCAUGUUCACGGUUGUGCCAAAAAUAACAAUGAAAUAAGCCUUCAAGCUACCAACUAUUUUUCAAUGAGAUAGCCUAACAUACAUACAUACAUAUAUGUGUGUGUGGUCUUACUUAUUGCAUUUCCCCUUUAAAAUGUUUUCAAUGUUUGAAAUUGAUCAUCUAAUUUUUAAGCAGUAUUGCAG